Long non-coding RNA from Diabrotica virgifera virgifera (western corn rootworm), 993 nucleotides. RefSeq lists it as uncharacterized. The transcript is spliced from 2 exons. The record is from RefSeq and is a predicted model, not a curated record. Lineage: Eukaryota; Metazoa; Arthropoda; Insecta; Coleoptera; Chrysomelidae.
GUUAAAUUCCAUUCGUUUCGGUUAAAAUUUGCAAAAAUGGGCCCUAAAUAACCCCCCUAUUUCGGCCCCCCUUUGAGAGGUUUUUUUUAAAGCUUAGUUUCUCGACAAAAUUCUCUUAAACUUACUCAUACCGAAUUUCAUCGAAAUCGGUCCGGUAGUUUUUGCUGGGCAGUGGCGACAUACGUACGUGCGUACAUACGUACGUACGCAUGAUACACUGUGUUAUUGUAUCAUGGUACGUACAUACUUCCGACAUGUUUUUUUUAUUUGCUUUUUAGACUCAGGGGGACUCAAAACGUCGAAAAAAAGUGAAAUCUGAAAAAAAAAUUUUUGCACGAUCCUAUAAUUUUAUCUAUUAUACUAUACUACGUAUAUAGUACGAUAAAGUAAAAAUUGCAGGUAAUGUUACACAAGAUCAGUAUAGCCCAUGGCAUUUCGUCAGCUGAAAUUAACAUUGACCGUUGUAGCCUCCGGCAGAGUAUUAUAAAUAUAUUCAAGAAUACACCUUUACCUUUCCCACAUAUUGUAACGGUUUUAUAUUAUUGAAACGUAUGUGGCCAGGCGAUCAAAGUGUUUAGGUGAUAUUAUGUUCAUUUACGACUAGUUAUAGUAUAGACCUGUAGUCCACAGAUGGCAUUGUACUAUUACUCUCAAAUAGUAUAUAAUAUUUCGUAUGAAAGGACGCCAAAUUUUGUUUUUCCCGGGGCGCUCAAAAACCUAGAACCGGCCCUGUCUGCAUAUGUGGCUGUGAUGAUAUUUUGACUUGUAAGAAGAUCUGCUGUGUAGAGAACAGGUUCAAGGACACUACCCUGAGGUACUCCAAUUUUAACUGGAUAUGGUUAGUGCACUGAUGGUUUACUUUUACAAGGAAAUGGCGGUCGGAAAGAUAGGAUUUGAGGAUUAGAAAGUAGUUAAGUUGCUUAGUUCGUGGAUGGCAUUGUUUGCUGCAUCUUGGUAGGAGAAUGUAUAAAAAUAAAAUAUAAAUGCAACAAA